GCCUUCGCUAGGUGUGAGCUCUAGAAAACUAGAUUCAUUUUUUAUGAAGCUACAAGCAUAAUUACUGUUUGGUGUGUUCAAUUGCUUAUGCUAUGCUGUUACUGGACCCUCUAACACACCCCAAUCAACCUGGCUGUGAUGAUUUAGACUGUGAUGAUGCCCCUGAGAUCCGCACCAAGUGAUUAGGACCCCCUGACACACCACAAUCAACCUGGCUCUGAUGAUUUAGACUAUGAUGAAGCCCCUGAGAUGAAUGAAGAAAGGAUUUACCCUGGGGAAUCAGUAACAAAGGGGGCAAUGCCUUAUGGCAAUAAUGCUCUUUUUUCUGCAUCAUCACCUGACUGGAACUGCCCUGAUAGACUUACUUGCGUUGCUGAAUUUGCUUGUCUCCAACAUCUAAAUAGCUCUUCAAAAAGUUUUUGGGUAAUCCAGCCCUGACAGCUGUCUCUCAUUUAUUUUGUGAUGAAUGCCAAAAUUACUUAGGAAAGCAACCCGAAGACACAAAUUGCUCACAUUGUGGAACGUCCUUCAUCAGAGAAACAAAAUGUUUUAAUUUUGUCAAUACCUUUGCGAGAUACAGUGGAGAACCAUGGAAUAAAUAUUUUGAGGAAAACGGUGAAGGAAGAAGAAAAUGAAAUCGAGGAUGUCAUGGAUGGAAAGCUGUACCAAACAGUACUGAAAGGGAAGAGACUAUCUGCUGAUGAUUUAACAUGAACCUGGAACUGUGAUGGAGUACCCAUUUUUAACUCCUCAAAUUACUCAGUUUGGCCCCUUCAAUUUACCAUAAAUGAACUGCCUUACAUACAUCGGAAAGAAAAUGUGAUGGUUGCAGGACUUUGGAUUGGCUCAGAAAAACCCAGAAUGGAUACCUUUUUAUUGAUUAAUGUUGCGAUUUAGCCCAAAACCCAUUACUUUGGAGAGAGAAGUGGGAUUCUGAAGAGGACAAAGGUCUUCUCCUUGAUUUUUUCCUCAGAUGCAAUUGCCAGGCCAAUCCUUCGUUACUGUAAGCAAUUCAAUGGUGAAUAUGGUUGUGACUGGUACUUGCACCCCGGUAAAGUUGUCCCCAAAGGCAGAGGAUAUGUAAGAUCCUUACAGUCAACAACUGCAAAUUGAAAGAUCACACAAUCAAUUUAAGGAUAAUGCAAUUCACGCUGCUCGCACUGACAUUCCGCAAAAUGGUGUGAAGGGGUUGUCAACACUGUUUUUGCUUCCGUUGUCCAACCAUAGAGACAGAAGUUGUAGAGUUAUGCCGAAGAAUGCAUGUAGUCAGGCACAAAACCAAACACAAUGUUGAACAAUGGAAGCAAAAACAGGAUACAUGCAACUGUUUGAAUCCAUGAUACAUAGAUCGACAAAUUACAGAAUUAGACACUGGACUGCUUAAUCUCAAGCCACCAAAGGAAAUCACAAGAAUGCCGCGAUCACUGCAUAUAAGAACAUUUUGAAAAGCACCGGAGUGUCGUGCAUUUUUUUUCUGUUUUAUUCAAUCACUGUUCUGCCUGGCAUCCUUCCGGCUCCAUUUCUACAGAAAAAAAAUAUAUAUACUUCCGUUCAGCAUGCAUAUUUUGCUUCAAGGAUCUAUUUCACAGUGUGACCUUAGAUUAGCUCACAUUUCUUUAGUCCUCUUUGUCAAGAAAAUGGAAGAAUUAUAUGGACAAGAAAAUGUUUCUUUCAAUUGUCAUCAGCUAAUCCACCUUACUGAUGGUGUACUGAAUUGGGGGCCUCUCAGGGCAACGUCAUCUUUUACAUUUGAGGGUAACAAUGGAUGUUUGAAAUCUCUUUUCCAUGGGACGCAGUGUGUUCCACAACAAAUUUGCCAGCUUUUCUUUCUUUGGCGAGUCAUUCCCAAACGUCUUAGUGUUUUAGGAUUUCACCCAGAGUCAGAGUUCGGUAUAUUCUUUACAAAGCUUGCAGACAGGAGACUGAAAGGAGAAAAAAAUCUCAGGCUCCCUCAAAACUCUAGGAAAAUCUGUACCUCUUCACCUCACAGCUUCUGUAUAACUUGCUGUAGAAUAACUAAUUACCCGGAUCUGUCUCGUCCCAGCCUGUGGAGUCAUACGGCCGAUUUUAAUUUAUGAACAGAUUGUUUAUCACACAACUAACAACAAAAUCUCAGAAAAAAGGGAUAAUGCCUCAGUCGUGUUCAAAAAUGGAUGUUGUGCACAACUGCUGUUCUUUUUCUUUGUUAGACUGAAUUGCAUUCGUCAAACAAACUGCUUAUGUCAACCUACUGUAACGCCCUGGCCAUAAAGAGGGGUUUUUGUUCUUUAUUUUGGUUAGGCCAGGGUGUUACAUUGGGUGGGCGUUCUAUGUUCCUUUUUCUAUGUUUUUGUAUUUCUUUGUUUUGGGCCGUGUGGCUCCCAAUCAGGCACAGCUGAAGCUCGUUGUUGCUGAUUGGGAGUCACACAUAAGGAGCAUGUUUUUCCUUUGGGUUUUGUGGGUAAUUGUUUCUGUUCAGUGUGUUUCUUGGCUGUCGGUUUUCCUGUUUUUUUUUUUUUUGGGUAUAGUGUUCUCUUUGUUUGAAUUAAAUGUCAAGAUGAACACUAACUCCGCUGCACCUUCUUCCGACGACAGCCCUUACACCUACUCCCAUUGUUGUGAUUCAACCAUAUGUAAUUCAAGCUGACAGUUUGUUCAUCCACUGCAAUCUAGGCAUCUCAAAUAAAAUUUGUGAAGUUGAGAGGUCAAGACAAAAAAAUAUAUCAAGUGUAAAUGUAUUUAUGUGGAUUGCUGGCUUGUCCCUCUGCCAAACACUUAUGAGAGAUUAGUUAUGGGUGUUUUUUAGUGAGCUGGUUGAUGUUAUUGAGCUGAUUUGAUAAUGAGAGCUGAUUCUCAUUUGCAAUGGUGACCUGGCCAAGAAAAGCAUCAACAUACCUUAGUUCAGGCCCGUCCAGUGUGAGGAUAUGUUAGGGACGUAAACCUUCCAGUUAAAAUGCAUGCAUUUAGUUUUGAGCACUAGUUGGAGAUCACAGAAUGUGUGUUGUAUGUCAAUGAAUCUGUGUGAUUCUAAUAGUAUCACACAUUGAAAACUUAUCAGGGACAUACAUCAGUGAUGCAAGGGCUAUCGCUUAUAUAUUGAAUUGUACAUGUUAACCACAUGUUCAAUGGAAUAGAUGUUUUUUUUAAAUAAAAAAUAAAUUAACAUUAAUAUAUUACUGGUCUGUUUUUACUAAGAUGCAACAUGUUUUUAAUGGAUGUAAUGUAUUGAAAGUAUCCAUCCCAAAAAUUCACACUACUUUAAAAGUAACCUGGCUAUACCCAUGUUGGAAUCUAAAAUAAAUAUUGGUUGGCUUUCUG
This 3297-nucleotide long non-coding RNA is filed under the name Salmo salar (Atlantic salmon). RNAcentral's name for it is "lncRNA (ENSSSAG00000086353.1)". The record is from RNAcentral. Lineage: Eukaryota; Metazoa; Chordata; Actinopteri; Salmoniformes; Salmonidae.